RNAcentral lists this ribosomal RNA (497 nucleotides) under uncultured bacterium. RNAcentral's name for it is "partial 16S ribosomal RNA". It matches the Rfam family "Bacterial small subunit ribosomal RNA", at positions 28 to 507 of the family's 1533-position model. The record is from RNAcentral.
GAUGAACGCUGGCGGCGUGCCUAAUACAUGCAAGUCGAGCGAACAGAUGAGGAGCUUGCUCCUCUGACGUUAGCGGCGGACGGGUGAGUAACACGUGGAUAACCUACCUAUAAGACUGGGAUAACUACGGGAAACCGGAGCUAAUACCGGAUAAUAUAUUGAACCGCAUGGUUCAAUAGUGAAAGACGGUUUUGCUGUCACUUAUAGAUGGAUCCGCGCCGCAUUAGCUAGUUGGUAAGGUAACGGCUUACCAAGGCAACGAUGCGUAGCCGACCUGAGAGGGUGAUCGGCCACACUGGAACUGAGACACGGUCCAGACUCCUACGGGAGGCAGCAGUAGGGAAUCUUCCGAAAAGGGCGAAAGCCUGACGGAGCAACGCCGCGUGAGUGAUGAAGGUCUUCGGAUCGUAAAACUCUGUUAUUAGGGAAGAACAAAUGUGUAAGUAACUAUGCACGUCUUGACGGUACCUAAUCAGAAAGCCACGGCUAACUACGUG